RNAcentral lists this ribosomal RNA (413 nucleotides) under Mabuya mabouya. RNAcentral describes it as "partial 12S ribosomal RNA". It matches the Rfam family "Bacterial small subunit ribosomal RNA", at positions 778 to 1396 of the family's 1533-position model. Lineage: Eukaryota; Metazoa; Chordata; Lepidosauria; Squamata; Scincidae. The record is from RNAcentral.
UUAGAUACCCCACUAUGCUUAGCCCUUAACAUAGACAGUAAGAACACAAUACUGUCCGCCAGAGAACUACAAGUGAAAAACUAGAAACUCCAAGGACUUGGCGGUGCCCCAUAUCAGCCUAGAGGAGCCUGUCCUAUAAUCGAUAAUCCACGUUAAACCUUACCACCUCUAGCAACUCAGCCUAUAUACCGCCGUCGAAAGCUUACCUUGUGAAAGAAACAAAGUAAGCAAAAUAGUCAAUAACUAGCACGUCAGGUCAAGGUGUAGCACAUGAGAUGGAAGAGAUGGGCUACAUUUUCUACCCUAGAAAACACGAACAGCACAAUGAAACCUGUACUCAAAGGCGGAUUUAGUAGUAAGACAAAAAAGAAAUUUUGCCUUAAACCCGCUCUGGGACGCGCACACACCGCCCG